Molecule: long non-coding RNA, 622 nt
Filed under: Brachypodium distachyon (stiff brome)
Lineage: Eukaryota; Viridiplantae; Streptophyta; Magnoliopsida; Poales; Poaceae
Description: long non-coding RNA (BDIS_LNC000239)
Source: RNAcentral
CAUCAGCAUUGUUAGCCUCGGCGUUGUUGGUGGGGUUCCGGCGUAUCGGAGGCAUCUGUUUAGGGUAGCAUAGAUGAGGAAACAGAUAGAAAAGAGCUAAGGAUAACUAAACCCCCAAACAAGAUAUAACUCAAGCAUAUAUCAAUCAUACACUCAUCAAUCAUAAAAGGUUUUGAAAAAUCAUAGCAAAACACACUUGUUUAUGGUGGGACAUUGCCCAUAAAGAAAAGAGUACGAGAAAAAAGCAAUCGACCUACAUUGCCAUACACAUAGAUUGUAUGGUCAAUGACUAACUCGCAAUACUGAUAAUGAAAAGAAAAAAAGGAACAAAAAUAAGUCUGGUAGGCAUCAACAGAUCUAAGGGAGUGUGGCUGUCGGUGUGGUCCCAUUCGCCUUCAUCUUGGAGCGGGUGUUUGUAGCAGGGGUGUCCAUCUCGUGGACCUCCUGGGGCUCCUCCUCAGUCGGUUCCUCCUCCUGAGGCUCCAUCUCCUGAUCCUGUGGCGGAGGUGGGAACUGGACAGGCGCCGGUGCGGCAGCUGGUGCUGCUGCGGCUGCGGCUGCUGCGGCUUCGACUACCAUGAAAGCCUUAAACCGCUCGUUGUAGUAGCGGGCCUGCUCACUC